Molecule: ribosomal RNA, 695 nt
Filed under: Thiania bhamoensis
Lineage: Eukaryota; Metazoa; Arthropoda; Arachnida; Araneae; Salticidae
Description: eukaryotic LSU rRNA
Rfam family: Eukaryotic large subunit ribosomal RNA (bases 466-695)
Source: RNAcentral
CUGUGGCGAGAGGAUUCAGUCUGUUUCGGCGGACGUUCUCGGGGAAAAUGCGGGGCAGGGCUUCCUCUUCACGAGGGCCGUCCUUGGGAACGACCUCAACCGUCUCAGACGCAUUUGACUCUCGCACCGAGGACGCUGCAGCCGGUCUGGAAGUGCAAGCGCGACGGCCUGAAAGUCGGGAGCCGGCAGGUGGCCGGUGGUCCGCCUCGUGCGGGCUAUCGGUUGUUAGCCUUCUCGUCGGUGGCUCGUCUCCAGACCGUGGUUCGCGAGUCCCUUCGGGGACUCUCCGUCUCCACCCAGAGUUCAGCGGGACAGGGCCCGGCCAGGGUCUCUGGCGUCGACCGUCGCACCUUCCACGGAGUGGGCGGACGACCCCGAGGCCCGAAUCGCCGGGACGGAUCCGCGGGGGACUGGAGGCUGGCAGCGAGUAGGUCGGUCACCCACCCGACCCGUCUUGAAACACGGACCAAGGAGUCUAACAUGUGCGCGAGUCAAUGGGUCUUGAACAGGCCCAUGGGCGCAAUGAAAGCGAAAGGCCGCCGAGCGCGGCCCUAGCGGGGAUCCCCGGCCCCACAAGGUCGGGGCGCACCCGCGACCCGUCCUAUCCGGCUCGCCGGUUGGGCGGAGUCUGAGCGUACACGUUGGGACCCGAAAGAUGGUGAACUAUGCCCGGACAGGACGAGGCCAGAGGAAAC